CCUACGGGAGGCAGCAGUGGGGAAUAUUGCACAAUGGGGGAAACCCUGAUGCAGCGACGCCGCGUGAGUGAAGAAGUAUCUCGGUACGUAAAGCUCUAUCAGCAGGGAAGAAAAUGAUGGUACCCGACCAAGAAGCCCCGGCUAACUACGUGCCAGCAGCCGCGGUAAUACGGAGGGGGCAAGCGUUAUCCGGAUUUACCGGGUGUAAAGGGAGCGUAGACGGCAGGACAAGUCUGGAGUGAAAUCCCGGGGCUUAACCCCGGAACGGCUUUGGAAACGGUGCGGCUGGAGUGGAGGAGGGGUAAGCGGAAUUCCGAGGGUAGCGGGGAAAUGUGUAGAUAUUAGGAGGAACACGGGUGGGGAGGGCGGCUGACUGGACUGUAACGAACGUGGAGGCUCGAAAGCGUGGUGAGCAACCAGGAUUAGAUACCCUUGUAGCC
Molecule: ribosomal RNA, 440 nt
Filed under: uncultured bacterium
Lineage: Bacteria
Description: partial 16S ribosomal RNA
Rfam family: Bacterial small subunit ribosomal RNA
Source: RNAcentral